RNAcentral lists this ribosomal RNA (600 nucleotides) under uncultured bacterium. RNAcentral's name for it is "bacterial SSU rRNA". It matches the Rfam family "Bacterial small subunit ribosomal RNA", at positions 1 to 593 of the family's 1533-position model. The record is from RNAcentral.
CGAUUGAGUUUGAUCCUGGCUCAGGAUGAACGCUGGCGGCGUGCUUAACACAUGCAAGUCGAACGGGGAUGCCAUUUUCGAGGUGAUUAGUUUACUAAGAGCCAAGAUGUUGGCAUCUUAGUGGCGGACGGGUGAGUAACGCGUGGGUAACCUGCCUUAUACAGGGGGAUAACACUUAGAAAUAGGUGCUAAUACCGCAUAAGCGCACGGGGCUGCAUGGCCCAGUGUGAAAAACUCCGGUGGUAUAAGAUGGACCCGCGUCUGAUUAGCUUGUUGGCGGGGUAACGGCCCACCAAGGCGACGAUCAGUAGCCGGCCUGAGAGGGUGGACGGCCACAUUGGGACUGAGACACGGCCCAAACUCCUACGGGAGGCAGCAGUGGGGAAUAUUGGACAAUGGGGGGAACCCUGAUCCAGCGACGCCGCGUGAGUGAAGAAGUAUUUCGGUAUGUAAAGCUCUAUCAGCAGGGAAGAAAUUGACGGUACCUGAGUAAGAAGCUCCGGCUAAAUACGUGCCAGCAGCCGCGGUAAUACGUAUGGAGCAAGCGUUAUCCGGAUUUACUGGGUGUAAAGGGAGCGUANGCGGCCUGCCAAGUCUGAU